RNAcentral lists this long non-coding RNA (4526 nucleotides) under Canis lupus familiaris (dog). RNAcentral describes it as "lncRNA (ENSCAFG00845006330.1)". The record is from RNAcentral. Lineage: Eukaryota; Metazoa; Chordata; Mammalia; Carnivora; Canidae.
UUUUUCUUUUUUUUUUAGAAAGUGAGUUUCUUAAGGACAGGGGCUGGGGAGAUUUGUUCUUGUAUCACCAAGGACUAGCAUGAUGCUUAAUGUAUGGCAGUCUAUUGGUCGGUGUUCUCCAAAGAAACAGAGCCCAUCUCUCUUUCUCUGUAUAGGGUGAGAGAGAGAGAGUAAGAAAGAGAGGGAAGGAAGGAGGAAGAAAGGAAGAAGGAAGGAAAGAAAGGAAGGAAGGGCUGAGAGAAGUAUUAAGAAUGGCUUAUAUGAUUGUAGGGGUUGGAAAGGCCAAAAUCGGCAGGGCAGGCUGGCAAGCUAGAAACCCAGGGAAGAGCUGAUGUUGCAGUGUUGAGCCUGAAAAUAGUCUGGAGACAGAAUUCCUUCUUUCUCCAGAGAAGUAUUUUUCUCUUAGAACUUUCAACUGGUUGGACGUGGCCCACUCGCAUUAUGGAUUGUAAUCUGCUUUACUCAAAGCCUACUAAUUUAAAGGUUUAAAACAUCCAAAAAAUACCUUCACAGCAACAUGCAGAUUGGAGUGUGACUAAACAUCUGGGCAACAGAGCCUAACAAAGUUGAUAUACAAUAUUUACCAUCACUAUAGGCUCUCAAUAAAUAUUGGUUUAACUGCCAGGUAUCGUCUGUUUGCUUCUCAGUUCCAUCCUUUCCUAUGUUGUUGUCUGUCCUAGGAAGCUGUCCUGUAUGUACUAUGUUAACUAGGCUCUUGCGCCUUCUAUCUUCAUUGGGUUCAGCCAAUGGAGAACCCCAAGAGGACAGCAGUGGGAGGAAAGAGAAUGGGGUCAGAAUGUUUAUUUUUCUGUUGUUCCCACCGGAUGCUCCUCUAGGAUGGGCUGUGUGCCUUGGUCAAGGGUUACUGUACUUUUCAAGAUAGGCUACUCUAUAUGUUUCUCUCUUUCAAGGGCCCAGUAACCUCUUCCCCCCACUGCCAAAUCUUCCAGAAAUAGGGUGGUAUCAGCUUUCCUUCAGCUACCCCUGGGUUCUACACUGCCCUUUGCGGUCCUCCUAUAUUUUGUCUGUACUUUUAAAAUGAGUCACCUUAAAAUUAAACCCUCUUUGAAUUUGUUACAUUCACUUAUUGAUUGAUUACAGUAUACAUUCAUUUAUUGAUUGAUACAGUUGAGAGAAUAAGUUUUUGUUCCUGACCUCUCUCCUCAGUUAUGGUUUCCUAGUCUAUAAAAUGGAAAUGAAAUGCCUUAAAACACAGGGCUACUGGAUGAUUAAACCAAAUAAUAUAUGUACCAUGCCUAGCACACGUGGCAAAUGCCUCGCAUAAAAUAAACAUGUAACAAGUGUUCUUUUAUAAGAGUGGUAAUAAUAGUAAUAAAAAAGGAUAGCUGAUUUGAUAGGGUCACCGAACCUAAUUACAAAGAUACGGGAUACAAUGGAAGUGGACAGGCUUACCGAGAGCUUGAAAUGCAUCAUUAGUUUAUUCCUUCAUUUAUCAACAUAAAUGCUACCGAUACUAAGUGCUGGGAACACCAGGGUAAACAAAACAGAUUCUGUCCACCCUCUUUACCAUCCCAUUAGCUGGAGUCUCUGGCAUCUUACCUUAACAAUGGCAACACCCUCCUACCUCGUCUCCCUGCCUCCACUUUGCCUACUCCCACGCCCCAUCUGUUCUCCAUAUACCAUCAUCUAAAAACACAAAUUGGAUCAUGUCCCAUGUUUAAGACUCCGUGGUGGCUUCUCAGUGCUUUUGGAAUUGGGACUAAAAUCUGAAGGCCCUGCCUGAGAUGGUCCCUGCCCACCUCUGUACCCAUCUUGAGACACUCUCAGUGACUUGCUGAAGUCCAGCCCCUGUGGUCUCACUUUGGUUCUUACGACCACCAAGUUCCUUCAUCACCUGUCAUUCCUUAUGUUUGAGCACUUAUUUUUCCCUAGCCCAUUUACUUCCUGAUUCUUCUAGCUGGUCAGGAUCCCUGUCACAGCUGUGACACUACUUAUUCCUCUUUGCUAUGGAAUUCUGGGCAUUUAUUGAUGAAUAUGUUUCCCACACUAAAGAGCAAGUCUUAUGAUGGCAAGAACAUGGACAUUUUGUUCACCACCAUAUCUGCUAUCACCACAUAAGUGUUCAGUACCCAAGACGUGGUCCUGACCUCAAUCAAAUGCAUUAUUUUGUUCUAGUCGCCUGAUACCUAUAAGCAAUGGGAAGAAGUGAGGAUUUUGCUCUAUUUCUAGCUUCUAAGUAGGAAGUACUAUGAAAUGUAUAGAACCUAAGAGACAAUUGAGGGGAUGCUGAGGGGAUAUGACACCUAGAAUUAGAUCACAUGAAUUUAAACUCGGAUUCUUAUCUUUAAGGCUAAGUCAGCAUAAGCAAUUAACUUAACCUCUGAGAACCUCAGAUUCUGUCCUUAAAAUGAGAAUAGUAAUUACCACUUCACAACCUUCCUGGAGGAUUGACUGACAUAAAAUAGUAAAAGCAGCCAUUGCAGUGCCUGGCACAGAGUGGUUCAAUAACUUUCAUAUUUUUACUUGUUAUGAUCACUAGUAUUAUCUUCCUUACCACAAUAAUCACCUUAUUCUGUGAAAUGAAGGGCCUGUAGAAAUGUGUAUAAAAAUAAGUGGAUGAGAUUGUUAUAAAUGAGGCAACCACCCACUAUCUAUCUCAGUGAAAUGUCAAAAGCAAAACAUAAGAAGUUAUAUAGUAUAGUUAGAAACCAGCUUUUCAGAAAUUUUUCAGAGUCCUCCAGCAUUAAUCGAGGGAGUAAAUUUAGAAUUGGAUAUAGAGUCGAUACCUCUUACAGUAGGAAUGUAUACAGUGGGAGUGAGGAGUCAGAGCCGGAUGGAAAGGAGGCUGUGAAAGGAAGGAAGUUAUGGGGGAGUCAGGCCUUGGAGGUGGAGGAGGAUUCAGUGAUGCCAAGCCCGUGGUGUGGCCCAGAGCAGGUGGUUAAAGCAGGGCCUGGGGCUACGGAAAAUGUUGUAUGCGUGUAUAUGAAUAUAUGCAUAUAUAUUUUUGUUCUAUGUAUUCCCUCCAGAGCCAGUAUUCCUACAAGGGAAAGCUGCCACCUAAAGGACUUCAUUCUGGUGGUGACUACUUGGAUUUGGUAAAGGCGUUCAGGAGAGGAAGCAGCAGCCCUGGGUCCACCUGGUAGAAGCCAGGAGAUACUGGUCUCUGAGCCAUUCAUGCAGCUACAACAGUAAUCAUGCAAUCAGUAAGGAAUGGUUGAGUGGAGAAAUGGGAUGGUGCUCCAAGUGGGGUUUCUGCCAUUAGACUGAUGCUUUAGCACUCCUUACCAUGAUCAUUCAUCUGCAAAUGAACAAAAUCUAUGUCCUCAAUUAUCAAAAAUCAUCCAAACACCCAAGUAGGUAUCAACAAUGUAAGGAAAACACGUGGUUAAUUUUACAUUCCAACAUGCUGAGUUUUUAGGCUCCCAUUCUUUUGACUUUGCCCUACCCAAUGUAGGACCCACUGGUUUACAUUGCUGUUCAUGUGGUGCUGAUAAACAGAAGGGCCUCCGGAGCCUGUCAGAGCAGGGAUGAAGCCCAGGCCCACUUUUAUUGAAGAGGCCACCUCCCUGGUCCGAGUAUUGGCCAAUCUUUCUGUUAUAUUGUAUUUAGUCUUGCAGGUUGUCUCAAAUCCUUAGUGGACUGAGACAGAGGAAAGCCAUUAGUUAUUAUAUGACCUUGGGUUAUUCUCCAAAGUUGAUUCCAUCCUGGAGCCAAACUAUAUUCUUAAAGGAUGGCCAAAUCUACCUAAGAAGUAAAUGUUUAGAGAUUUAUCCUCAAUUUGGCAAAGGGAUGAUGCCAAAUUCCUCUGGAUGGCCCUCCAGAGGAAGCAGUUAAGUGGCCCUGCAAUUCUGUUGCCUGCCCCAGCCAGCCUGCCUUGCCCCCUGGAGGAGCAGGCACAGCGAGGCGAAAACAGUUCAUCCUUGCACUAGCCCACCUCUUUUCUCUCUUUUGUUAUGUUCAGUGUGCUCUUUGCGAUCAGAGAAGAAGUUAGCUCUGAAGAUACUGCAAUCUGCAAUAUUUGGAAAAAAGUUCAGAUCAUUGUUAUUUAUUGGAACAGCUCUUUUACAUAAGUCUGCGUGAUAUAAUCUGGAUUAUGAAAGUUCUACUGCUUGCAUUUCCACAUCUAUUCAAAAGAGCUUUUACCAGCCACUGGCCCUUCUGGAAAAAAAAAAAAAGUCUUAUAUUAAAGUCUAACAUCUUUAUUGACACUCAUGAGUGGCUUGGAAACAUAUAGUCAGUCUAUAUUUUCAUUUCACUCUUUUUGGCCUUUUGCAAGCAAAAGUCUUAACCAAGAAUUUAGCUGAGUACCAUUUACAUGGAAAUGAUCUACACCAAUAUUGAUGCCUAGAUCUGCCUCAGUGACCCACUUCUCUUCUGACCACAGCAUCCUAUUUCUUGGGAAAAUGUUCCUUGUGCCUGCUGUUACUACAUAGUCCUAGCGGGAACAGUGGAGCUCAGAACUCUGCCUCCUUGAUACACGUGUGAGCAUGUGAUCCGAGUGGGCCAAUCACAAACCUUUCCCAGGAAUUUUUAACUUGGAAGUUAAGGACAAAGUCCCUUUGUAC